GUACUACUGAAGAGUCCCAAACUAGGACGAAACAGUUGUCCAUUAC
Molecule: non-coding RNA, 46 nt
Filed under: Trichobilharzia regenti
Lineage: Eukaryota; Metazoa; Platyhelminthes; Trematoda; Strigeidida; Schistosomatidae
Source: RNAcentral